RNAcentral lists this ribosomal RNA (250 nucleotides) under uncultured bacterium. Its description in RNAcentral is "partial 16S ribosomal RNA". It matches the Rfam family "Bacterial small subunit ribosomal RNA", at positions 524 to 773 of the family's 1533-position model. The record is from RNAcentral.
AACGUAGGAGGCUAGCGUUAUCCGGAUUUACUGGGCGUAAAGCGCAUGCAGGCGGCUUGGCAAGUUGGGCGUGAAAUCUCUCGGCUUAACCGGGAGGGGUCGUUCAAAACUGCCGGGCUUGGGUGCAGGAGAGGAAAGCGGAAUUUCCAGUGUAGCGGUAAUAUGCGCAGAUAUUGGAAAGAACACCAGUGGCGAAGGCGGCUUUCUGGCCUGUAACCGACGCUAAGAUGCGAAAGCUAGGGGAGCGAAC